UAACAAUGAUUUCCCUAGUAACGGCGAGUGAAGAGGAAAGAGCUCAAAGUUGGAACCUAUUUGGCUUAGCUAAAUCGGAUUGUAAACUGUAGAAGUGUUUUCCAGACACGCCUGGUAAAAAAGUCCUUUGGAACAGGGCAUCAUAGAGGGUGAGAAUCCCGUCAUUGGCCAGAGCUGUUGUCUUUUGUGAUACAUUUUCAAAGAGUCAGGUUGUUUGGGAAUGCAGCCUAAAUUGGGUGGUAAAUCUCACCUAAAGCUAAAUAUUUGCGAGAGACCGAUAGCGAACAAGUACCGUGAGGGAAAGAUGAAAAGAACUUUGAAAAGAGAGUUAAACAGUAUGUGAAAUUGUUAAAAGGGAACCGUUUGGAGCCAGACUGGCUUAAUCGUAAUCAAUUUAGGCUUUGGCCUGGAUGCACUUGCGGUUUAUGCCGGCCAACGACAGUUUUGUUUGGGAGAAAAAAUUACAUUGAAUGUGGCCCCUCGGGGUGUUAUAGCUUUGUAAAAAAUAUCCUGGACUGGACUGAGGAACGCAGUGAAUGCCUUUAGGCAAGAUUGCUGGGUGCUUUCGCUAAUACAUGCUAGAAUUUCUGCUUCGGGUGGUGCUAGUGUUUAAAGGAGGAACUCGCCUGGUAUAUUUUUUAUUCGCUUAGGUUGUUGGCUUAAUGACUCUAAAUGACCCGUCUUGAAACACGGACCAA
This 698-nucleotide ribosomal RNA is filed under the name Mucor hiemalis. RNAcentral describes it as "eukaryotic LSU rRNA". It matches the Rfam family "Eukaryotic large subunit ribosomal RNA", at positions 66 to 669 of the family's 3401-position model. RNAcentral also lists the same sequence under 1 other name. Lineage: Eukaryota; Fungi; Mucoromycota; Mucoromycetes; Mucorales; Mucoraceae. The record is from RNAcentral.